GUCUGGCUGGCUCAAUUGGUAGAGCAUGGGAUUCUUGAUCUCGAGGUUGUAAGUUUGAGUCCCACAUCGGGUG
This is a non-coding RNA of Ailuropoda melanoleuca (giant panda), 73 nucleotides long. Lineage: Eukaryota; Metazoa; Chordata; Mammalia; Carnivora; Ursidae. The record is from Rfam.